This 468-nucleotide ribosomal RNA is filed under the name uncultured bacterium. Its description in RNAcentral is "partial 16S ribosomal RNA". It matches the Rfam family "Bacterial small subunit ribosomal RNA", at positions 28 to 507 of the family's 1533-position model. The record is from RNAcentral.
GACGACCGCUGGCUGCGUGCUUAACACAUGCAAGUUGAACGGAAAGGCCCUGUUUUUGUGGGGGGCUCGAGUGGCGAACGGGUGGUUAACACGUGAGUAACCUGCCCUUGACUUUGGGGUAACUUCAGGAAACUGGGCCUAAUACCGGAUAGGAGCUCCUACUUCAUGGUGUGGGUUGGAAAGUUUCGGCGGUUGGGGAUGGCCUCGCGGCUUAUCAUCUUCUUGGUGGGGUAGUGGCUCACCAAGGCGUUGCCGGGGAUCCGGCCUGCGGGGGUGACCGGCCACAUUGGGACUGCCACCCGGCCCGCACUCCUACGGGGGACAGCAGUGCGGAAUAUUGCACAAUGGGCGGAGGCCGGAUGCAGCAACGUCGCGCGAGGGAGCACGGCCUUCGGGUUGUCACCCGCGUUCGCCUGUGAAGAAGCGCGCGUCAUGGUAAUGGGUAAAGAAGCAUCGGCUCACUACGUG